GCUCCGGUAGCCUAGUGGUAGAAGCGUCCGCCUCGGAUGCAGGAGGUCGUGGGAUCGAACCCCGGCCGAGUCA
Molecule: non-coding RNA, 73 nt
Organism: Potamilus streckersoni
Lineage: Eukaryota; Metazoa; Mollusca; Bivalvia; Unionida; Unionidae
Source: the annotation of a GenBank genome assembly